UACGAAGGGGGCUAGCGUUGCUCGGAAUCACUGGGCGUAAAGCGCACGUAGGCGGCUUCUUAAGUCAGGGGUGAAAUCCUGGAGCUCAACUCCAGAACUGCCUUUGAUACUGGGAAGCUCGAGUUCGGGAGAGGUGAGUGGAACUCCGAGUGUAGAGGUGAAAUUCGUAGAUAUUCGGAAGAACACCAGUGGCGAAGGCGGCUCGCUGGCCCGAUACUGACGCUGAGGUGCGAAAGCGUGGGGAGCAAACAGG
This 253-nucleotide ribosomal RNA is filed under the name uncultured bacterium. RNAcentral's name for it is "partial 16S ribosomal RNA". It matches the Rfam family "Bacterial small subunit ribosomal RNA", at positions 524 to 776 of the family's 1533-position model. The record is from RNAcentral.